AUUGGCUGCGCUGGUGGCGCUAUAGCGCACGGAGUUCGAAUGAACUGCAGCAGAGCUAGAGGGAACUGCUGUGGGGUGUGGCCAAAGACUUCAUUGGUGCUUUCUCAUCAUUACAAGUUUUCAGAUGCUGGCCAGUCACUUCUUCCAAGGCUUCAAACACAUGACCAGACUGCUGCAACUACACUGUGUGUGUGUGUACUUUAAUCACUAAGACUUAAGAUCAGAUACGCCCUUGACAGCUCUGAAUGUCAGCUGAGACAAGACAACUAGAUGAGCCCCAGAGAAAGAUCCCCUCCGCCCUCAUCGCCUAGACAGCCAUUGGGACAAGACCACAGGAACCAAACCAGUCCUCUGCACAAUCUGACCUGUGUUGCAGUCUGCAAUUCAUGAGUUCACACUUACAGAUAAUGUACAGAGUAAAGGUUAUGCGUAUUUGGCGUGCUGUCUGAGGAGAGGGCUCCAAGCGCUCCUCCUGAGUGUUCCUCCCUGUGCUGGGGUAGGAACAGGCUGAAGGUGAGGAGUCGGGGUGGUGGAGGGAUACUGAAAGACUAGAAAUAAUGAAGGUAUGGCUGCGUUGAUAAUUUAUAGGGGUUCUCUCUUGUGCUGAUUAGAUAGAUGCUGGAUUCAUCUGGCCAGAGAAGAAUGAUGGAGUUUUGGUUUCUUCGACAUAUGAUUUUUCUGUUUAAUACUGGAAAGCUGCUUUGACAUACCUGUAAUCUGUAAUAGCCUAGUGUUGGGCGGUGUACUGGUUCUUACUGAUUACCGGUGUUUCUUUUUCUUAUGAUAUGAAUUUUUAAAGUACCGCAAUGCUGGUUGUUUAAAUAAUGUUCGGAACGCUUUUGAGAGGGGUCUCUUUUGACGUUGCACUGUGGUUAGGACACAGCUGUAUGUUACUAAGUGUGAAAGUUCCAAGACUGAAGCUGUCCCAUGCAGGCCGGAUGUGGGCCAAAACUGCUUGCUGUCCGGACGUAGAACUUGUAGAACGUGAUGACACAGAAGAACUCGUCCACAGUAUCCACUGACCUCCACAUCCACCGCCUGCUGCCAUCAGCUCCUGCGCCUUACACACACGAGCGCAACUUCAGCGCUAGAUUUAGACUACAUCUUCUUUUAUCCGGGUGCAUUUGAAAACGGCAUUUUCGUUUUAAAACGCUCUCCGUCCUAACUAGCGUUUUCAAGCGUUUUGCAAACUUUGUCUCGUCAACACUGAAACUUUAAAAAAAGGUUAUAUUUCUGCGCAUGCGCAUAUCCUCGAAAAAGCUCACUGCAGAUGAUACGAAAGAACAGACAUGAUAAAUUUGUAUGCAGUUCUUCUGACAGGAUUAUUUUAUUUAUGAAAAGAUCCCACCAUUCACUGAUGCAACCAGGUCGCACACAUGAUUGUAUGUCUGAUCUAAAAUGCAACUGCCUUCAUGUUUUGUUGCAAAUAGCAAUUGCGAGUAAAUUUGCUUUCACCUUUGCAGAACUGUGAUAUUAAGAGUGUACAAAGUAACACAUCUGUAGUAAUAGUGAGAAAGUGUAUACUGCAUAGCACAUAACAUUCACAAUACAAACACAGAUAUCUAUAUAAUAUGCCUCACAUGAAUAAAAUUGCGUAAUCGUUUUCAAAAGCCUCCGUUUUCACAUUUAUCCACUUUGCAGAGGGUUUUCAAAAAGCUCCAUUUUCCUCGACUGAAAACGGACGGAAGGCCAAAAAGGAGAGAAAAAGAUGCGUUUUCAAACGAAAACGUAUUAGGGUGGACAAGGCCUUACCAACUUUCAAACGCUUUUAGUGUGUUUUUUCCAUGGAAUAUAUAUACUGACAAACAUAGGGACUUUUUUUGGGAUAAACCUUAGCUAUGAUUUAGUUGGAAGAUGUCGCCAGUGCUGCCCCGCGA
Molecule: long non-coding RNA, 1877 nt
Organism: Carassius gibelio (silver crucian carp)
Lineage: Eukaryota; Metazoa; Chordata; Actinopteri; Cypriniformes; Cyprinidae
Exons: 3
Source: RefSeq, a predicted model, not a curated record